This 508-nucleotide ribosomal RNA is filed under the name uncultured bacterium. RNAcentral's name for it is "bacterial SSU rRNA". It matches the Rfam family "Bacterial small subunit ribosomal RNA", at positions 19 to 518 of the family's 1533-position model. The record is from RNAcentral.
CUGGCUCAGGAUGAACGCUAGCUACAGGCUUAACACAUGCAAGUCGAGGGGCAGCAUUGGAGUAGCAAUACUCAGAUGGCGACCGGCGCACGGGUGAGUAACACGUAUCCAACCUGCCGCUUACUCGGGGAUAGCCUUUCGAAAGAAAGAUUAAUACCCGAUGGUAUAAAGAGUUCGCAUGUUCUCUUUAUUAAAGAAUUUCGGUAAGCGAUGGGGAUGCGUUCCAUUAGAUAGUUGGCGGGGUAACGGCCCACCAAGUCUACGAUGGAUAGGGGUUCUGAGAGGAAGGUCCCCCACAUUGGAACUGAGACACGGUCCAAACUCCUACGGGAGGCAGCAGUGAGGAAUAUUGGUCAAUGGACGAGAGUCUGAACCAGCCAAAAGUAGCGUGAAGGAUGACUGCCCUAUGGGUUGUAAACUUCUUUUAUAAGGGAAUAAAGUGAGGGACGUGUCCCUUUUUGUAUGUACCUUAUGAAUAAGGAUCGGCUAACUCCGUGCCAGCCGCGGC